GUAGGGGGCAAGCGUUGUCCGGAUUUAUUGGGCGUAAGAGCUCGUAGGCGGCUUAGCAAGUCGGUCGUGAAAUACCGAGGCUCAACCUCGGAACGCCGGUCGAAACUGCUAUGGCUAGGGUCCGGUAGAGGAGAGUGGAAUUCCCGGUGUAGCGGUGAAAUGCGCAGAUAUCGGGAGGAACACCAGUAGCGAAGGCGGCUCUCUGGGCCGGUACCGACGCUGAGGAGCGAAAGCGUGGGGAGCAAACAGGAUUAGAUACCCUGGUAGUCCACGCCGUAAACGAUGGGCACUAGGUGUGGCAAGUUCAUCAAUGCUUGCCGUGCCGUAGCUAACGCAUUAAGUGCCCCCGCCUGGGAGUACGGUCGCAAGGCUA
This 373-nucleotide ribosomal RNA is filed under the name uncultured organism. Its description in RNAcentral is "partial 16S ribosomal RNA". It matches the Rfam family "Bacterial small subunit ribosomal RNA", at positions 527 to 896 of the family's 1533-position model. The record is from RNAcentral.